RNAcentral lists this ribosomal RNA (520 nucleotides) under uncultured Glomus. RNAcentral describes it as "SSU rRNA". It matches the Rfam family "Eukaryotic small subunit ribosomal RNA", at positions 569 to 1091 of the family's 1831-position model. Lineage: Eukaryota; Fungi; Glomeromycota; Glomeromycetes; Glomerales; Glomeraceae. The record is from RNAcentral.
AGCAGCCGCGGUAAUUCCAGCUCCAAUAGCGUAUAUUAAAGUUGUUGCAGUUAAAAAGCUCGUAGUUGAAUUUCGGGGUUAGUAGGUUGGUCAUGCCUCUGGUAUGUACUGGUCUCACUGAUUCCUCCUUCCUGAUGAACCUUAAUGCCAUUUAUUUGGUGUUUUGGGGAAUUUGGACUGUUACUUUGAAAAAAUUAGAGUGUUUAAAGCAAGCUAACGCUUGAAUACAUUAGCAUGGAAUAAUGAAAUAGGACGUUCGAUCCUAUUUUGUUGGUUUCUAGGAUUGACGUAAUGAUUAAUAGGGAUAGUUGGGGGCAUUAGUAUUCAAUUGUCAGAGGUGAAAUUCUUGGAUUUAUUGAAGACUAACUACUGCGAAAGCAUUUGCCAAGGAUGUUUUCAUUAAUCAAGAACGAAAGUUAGGGGAUCGAAGACGAUCAGAUACCGUCGUAGUCUUAACCAUAAACUAUGCCGACUAGGGAUCGGAUGAUGUUAAUUUUUAAUGACUCAUUCGGCGCCUUAC